Molecule: long non-coding RNA, 228 nt
Filed under: Elaeis guineensis (African oil palm)
Lineage: Eukaryota; Viridiplantae; Streptophyta; Magnoliopsida; Arecales; Arecaceae
Description: long non-coding RNA (EGUI_LNC037246)
Source: RNAcentral
AGGGUCAUCUGUGAGUACCCUAAGGUUUCUGUCUAGGGUUCGGGAAGUGAGAAGGUGAGCUACGAGUAUCGUGAGUCCAUCAAAUUUUAGAAAGAGCUUCAUCAUCCUAUCUACUAUCUCUGCUGAUGAUCCAGAAUAUUUAAAAAAUCGACAGACAUCGAUCGAAAGAGUUCGAUCAGCAUCAGCUGUCGAAAGGGUUCUACAACGAACUAGCAUUCGUGAGGAGCC